RNAcentral lists this small RNA (557 nucleotides) under bovine gut metagenome. The record is from RNAcentral.
GAAGACGAGCUUAAAAAUUCGUUAAAGGGCACAUCGAUGAAACCUCUGGUGGCUGCUUCUUACGCCCAGUUUGGGGUGGGUACUGGAGAUGAGGAUCUUGGGCGACUCGUAAUGGCAUACGAAUCACGACCCAUUUUCCGUGGAGACUGGUUCUUGUAGUUAUUCUAUACGGACAACCUGAUGAAUGAUUACGAAACUGGAUUGGAACCUGUAGUGUGGCGAAAGCUAUGUGCAGUGUAGCCUGUCUUGAGUGAAAAUUUUGGGAUAAAUGAACUAACCAAUGAUAAGCGGCCACUUAUCAUAGGGUAUUGCAUUUUGAAAUAAUUUUUGCAAAAAAGAAUUAAUAACAAGGUAUUGAGGGGGAAAUCUCCUAGAGUGUAUGUGAUAUAGGAUUGCAGUGGGCACUAAGUGGCAAUCAAGUCGUAUGAUACGGUGACGUCAUAUUGAUUCUUGUAAAGGGGAACCGCAGAUUUGGUAACGAGUCUGUAAGAAUUAGGGAAAUCCUACUUGACCUAAGGCUCAAAGUUAACUAUGUUACUUGCCAAACAAUUUUUUAU